GCAAGAAACAAAGUCAUGCUAGAAUGUACAGGUAACAGAGACAUGGACUUUUUAAGGUAACAGAGACAUGGACUUGAGAAGACAACUUGGCUCAAUUCCUAGCUCUGCAACUUACUUACUAGGUUUGUGUCUUUGGACUGCAUCCUAACAAACAACUGUGUCAAGACAUUUGAACAGCAUAUUCUACACAAAUAAAAAGGAAAUGAUAAAGAUAAAAGAAAUUAAUAGAAUGGAAAGUGAUGGAGAUAAACAAGUGAAAAGAUGGUCCUUUGAAAAGACUAAAACAUGGCCAAUGCACUGGCAAGAAUGAUUGGGACAAUAAACAAAAUAUAUAUGCCAGGGCAGCUCCCGGCGAGAUCGACGCAAAAGGAACCGACCUUUGAUCAUCCGCACGUGAGACUGCUCCCAGAAAGGGGGAACAAUGUUAAUUACCCACAGACUACGUUGGAUCCAGGCUUUCGGCAUUAUGUCUGUACUAAAUAAAAGCAAGCGCUGCAGCUUAUUAAAACUGCUCACUCUUUGGCAGUCCCCUAGCUGCUCUUACACUGCA
Molecule: long non-coding RNA, 550 nt
Organism: Homo sapiens (human)
Lineage: Eukaryota; Metazoa; Chordata; Mammalia; Primates; Hominidae
Source: Ensembl